RNAcentral lists this unclassified non-coding RNA (169 nucleotides) under soil metagenome. RNAcentral describes it as "partial internal transcribed spacer 1". The record is from RNAcentral.
CCGAGUUUACAAACUCCCAACCCUAUGUGAACCUUACCUAUCGUUGCUUCGGCGGGCUUUAGCCCCCGCGCCGCUCGCCGGCGCCGGGAAACAGGCGCCCGCCGGAGACCCCAAACCCAAUGUUUUCAUGCAGUAUUCUUCUGAGUGGCAAACGCAAAAAAAUAAAUCA